This 503-nucleotide ribosomal RNA is filed under the name uncultured bacterium. Its description in RNAcentral is "partial 16S ribosomal RNA". It matches the Rfam family "Bacterial small subunit ribosomal RNA", at positions 30 to 523 of the family's 1533-position model. The record is from RNAcentral.
AUUGAACGCUGGCGGCAGGCUUAACACAUGCAAGUCGAGCGGGGUGAUGGUGCUUGCACUAUCACUUAGCGGCGGACGGGUGAGUAAUGCUUAGGAAUCUGCCUAUUAGUGGGGGACAACAUCUCGAAAGGGAUGCUAAUACCGCAUACGUCCUACGGGAGAAAGCAGGGGAUCACUUGUGACCUUGCGCUAAUAGAUGAGCCUAAGUCGGAUUAGCUAGUUGGUGGGGUAAAGGCCUACCAAGGCGAGGAUCUGUAGCGGGUCUGAGAGGAUGAUCCGCCACACUGGGACUGAGACACGUCCCAGACUCCUACGGGAGGCAGCAGUGGGGAAUAUUGGACAAUGGGGGGAACCCUGAUCCAGCCAUGCCGCGUGUGUGAAGAAGGCCUUAUGGUUGUAAAGCACUUUAAGCGAGGAGGAGGCUCUUUUGGUUAAUACCCAAGAUGAGUGGACGUUACUCGCAGAAUAAGCACCGGCUAACUCUGUGCCAGCCGCCGCGGUAA